AUACUUACCUGACCAGGAAGAUUCCAUGAUCAUGAAGGUGGUUUUCCCAGGAUGAGGCUUAUCCAUUGCACUCCAGAUGUGCUGACCCUUGAAAUUUCCCCAGAUACAGGAAACUUGACUGCAUUGA
Small nuclear RNA from Homo sapiens (human), 127 nucleotides. NCBI's taxonomy places the organism in Eukaryota, Metazoa, Chordata, Mammalia, Primates, Hominidae. The record is from Ensembl.